RNAcentral lists this ribosomal RNA (580 nucleotides) under Pasteurella multocida. RNAcentral describes it as "bacterial SSU rRNA". It matches the Rfam family "Bacterial small subunit ribosomal RNA", at positions 113 to 689 of the family's 1533-position model. The record is from RNAcentral. Lineage: Bacteria; Pseudomonadati; Pseudomonadota; Gammaproteobacteria; Pasteurellales; Pasteurellaceae.
AUGCUUGGGAAUCUGGCUUAUGGAGGGGGAUAACUGUGGGAAACUGCAGCUAAUACCGCGUAAUCUCUGAGGAGUAAAGGGUGGGACCUAUUGGCCACCUGCCAUAAGAUGAGCCCAAGUGGGAUUAGGUAGUUGGUGGGGUAAAGGCCUACCAAGCCUGCGAUCUCUAGCUGGUCUGAGAGGAUGACCAGCCACACUGGAACUGAGACACGGUCCAGACUCCUACGGGAGGCAGCAGUGGGGAAUAUUGCGCAAUGGGGGGAACCCUGACGCAGCCAUGCCGCGUGAAUGAAGAAGGCCUUCGGGUUGUAAAGUUCUUUCGGUAAUGAGGAAGGGAUGUUGUUAAAUAGAUGGCAUCAUUGACGUUAAUUACAGAAGAAGCACCGGCUAACUCCGUGCCAGCAGCCGCGGUAAUACGGAGGGUGCGAGCGUUAAUCGGAAUAACUGGGCGUAAAGGGCACGCAGGCGGACUUUUAAGUGAGAUGUGAAAUCCCCGAGCUUAACUUGGGAAUUGCAUUUCAGACUGGGAGUCUAGAGUACUUUAGGGAGGGGUAGAAUUCCACGUGUAGCGGUGAAAUGC